Molecule: transfer RNA, 84 nt
Filed under: Candidatus Woesearchaeota archaeon
Lineage: Archaea; Nanobdellati; Candidatus Woesearchaeota
Description: tRNA-Val
Rfam family: tRNA
About the family: Transfer RNA (tRNA) molecules are approximately 80 nucleotides in length. Their secondary structure includes four short double-helical elements and three loops (D, anti-codon, and T loops). Further hydrogen bonds mediate the characteristic L-shaped molecular structure. tRNAs have two regions of fundamental functional importance: the anti-codon, which is responsible for specific mRNA codon recognition, and the 3' end, to which the tRNAs corresponding amino acid is attached (by aminoacyl-tRNA synthetases). tRNAs cope with the degeneracy of the genetic code in two manners: having more than one tRNA (with a specific anti-codon) for a particular amino acid; and 'wobble' base-pairing, i.e. permitting non-standard base-pairing at the 3rd anti-codon position.
Source: RNAcentral
GCCGCGGUAGGAUAACUUGGUAUUCCGGCAGAUUGACACCCUGCUGCUCGAAAGAGCUUCUGGGUUCAAAUCCCAGCCGCGGCG